ACGCGGAGUCGACAGUGGAAAAUUUCCAUGCUCUUGCUGUAUCAAAGGGAGAGUGACAGGCGCGCAACAAGGCAGGUUGCUUAUACACCAUCAUUUGUCAGGGGAAUGAGCUCUGACUGCCUCGAGACAUCAAACCGGAAGCAAUUAUACAAUUUCUAGGAGAAUUCUAAGGAAACAAACUCACUACAAUAUAAAUUCAUACCGUUUUGAUCUUUAAUUUCCAGACUGGCUCCCCUAGCUGCUGCACCAAUGGGUGUGAAGGUUCUCCAGUGUUUUCCCUGGUACAAGAGGUGUAAAGACAAGGGCAAGAGCAGAGACUGCGUCCCUAAAGAGGUUCCAUCCAUUGAGACAGAGCCCCAGUUUGCCCCGCCAACCUAUGCCAGUGAUGGUGCUGGAGGAGGAGUUGUCUACUUUUCCCACAAGGCAAGAGUGGCCUACAGACAUCGGAUGGAGGGCAACGUUAUAGACACCACCUACUGAGCCCCCAACCUCCAGCCCCUGCUGCAAAAACACCCCUCAAAGACUGUCUGCUCAGAAGCAUCUUUGUCUUACAACAGACAGUAUCCCAGUUCUUCAAUGAUCGUGUCUGGACAGAAGAAUACUAAAAUGAUGGUCAAACAUAAAAUGGUCAGAAAACUGUUCUUGUUUGUAUUUGUUCAGCUUAGUUCAGCUGAAGGUUUGAGAUAGGUGCUUGACUAAAGAUGGAGGCUGAGAAGCACUACUGAGAACUGUCUGAUAGCCAUUAGAACAUCUUUGACAGAUGGGAGAAAACACUUUUAGAUAGGGGUUGAGAAACUUUGUCUAUGCUAUUACCUUGAAGUGCAUUCUUCUUGUUUUCCUGUCGUUUUAUCAUUUGCACUUUAUUUAUUGUUCUAGGGUCAAAUUUGUGUACGUGUGUCUGCUAUACACCUAAUGGUUUUGCAUAUUUUUUGGGGCAUGUUUUGUAAUGGUCCAUUUUCUGUAAUAUCCCAUCUAGAAACUGGUGUUGUAGACUGGCCAUGACUAAUACACAGCUAUACGAUGAAUGUAAUAAUAACCGUCAAUGAUUACUGACACUUUAUAUUCUACUUGUAUUGUUGCUAUGAAAUAAUCAACAAAAGACUAAUGCUACAUUACUAGUAAUGUGACAAGUCACUUUUUAAAUAGUUUUGGAUAGCUGCAAAUAAAUGUUUUUGCCGUUUGAUUAUGGAACCCUUUCUAAUGUUCGGCCCAUGAUCUCUGUUACCCUAUCACAUCCUUUCAAAAGUUUUCAGAGUAAGACUGUGUAUUUUGGUAACACUGGGGAUGUACUUAACAAACAGGCCUUUAUGGCAGACAGACUCUGAACACUGGUUAAAGAUUAACACUUUAACCAGUGACUUGGCACCAAGACACGUGUUUUACAUACGAGAUGGCAACGGGUUAUGUAAUGCAUAUCAGAUAUAACGGUAAGAAGAAAGAGAGGAGAUCUUGGUUACUUCUCUGGAGAAAUACUACUGUAAAACAAACUACUGUAAAACAAAAGCUACAGGUACACACUAUAGGCAAUGGUAAUUGGCACACAUGUAACAUGGUAUGUAUCAAACCUUUAGAGAUAAGCAUCUAUUUAGUAUAUUUGGUAACACUAUAGUCAUAACUAACAUGAAGCAGGUGUCUCAGAGCCUAAGGUAGCCUGGUUGCUGUCUCUGGUACCCAGACUAGCUGUGAGGUGUCCUAAUGCCUACAGAUCUUAAUAAACAUGGAAAUCAAAUAA
Salvelinus fontinalis (brook trout) is the source of this 1732-nucleotide long non-coding RNA. RefSeq lists it as uncharacterized. Lineage: Eukaryota; Metazoa; Chordata; Actinopteri; Salmoniformes; Salmonidae. The transcript has 3 exons. The record is from RefSeq and is a predicted model, not a curated record.